This is a long non-coding RNA of Rhinopithecus roxellana (golden snub-nosed monkey), 925 nucleotides long. RefSeq lists it as uncharacterized. Lineage: Eukaryota; Metazoa; Chordata; Mammalia; Primates; Cercopithecidae. The transcript has 3 exons. The record is from RefSeq and is a predicted model, not a curated record.
GGGCGGGGUGGGCGUUCGGCCCUUCCUUCAGUGUGCCCCCUGCAGGUGGAAGUGCAACACUCCGCGCCUUUGCCUGCCCCGCUGGCCAGGACGCGGCCACCUGAUUGUCUGCCUUGCUGCAGCCACAGUGAUCCUCCUGACGCGAACUUCGGACCCAGCUACUUACUUUUCUGUUCAAGAACUCACACUGGCAUCCCAGGAUAAAGUCCAAAGUCCUUAACCUGCCGCCAUUCAGGAUUCCUUCCCUUGAACUUCAGAGCCGAACAGGUAGAAGGAACAGCAGUUUCAGCCAUCAGCAGUUAAGGAAGAUCUCUGUGACUGCCUGGACAAAUAAGUACUGCAGAAGGGCUACUAUAUUAUUUAUGAGGCUGGAUCAUAAAAAUGCCAUACACUUCCACCUUCUUCUCUUGGAAUGCUCAUUCUUGGAACCCAUCAGUCAUGCUAAGGGAAAGCUCAGUGAACCCCUGGAGAAAGCACCUGGAGAGGCCACAUGUAAGUUUUCCAUCUGAUAGCCCAGCUGAGGUCCGAAACAAUAUCCAGCUUCAAGUACCAAACAAGUGAAUGAUGCCUCUAGAUGAUUCUGUCGCUCAGCAAUCAAGUCACUCCAGACUUUGAGUCUUUUUAGCUGAGGCUCUCAACAUUGUGGAGAGAUAAAUUGUCCCUGCUGUGCUCUGUUCUGAUUAGUGACUCACAGAAUCUAUGAGUAGAAACCAUUGGUUACUUUAUGCUACAAAGUUUUCGGGUGGUUUGUUACACAGCAAUAGAUAACUGAUAACAGCAUCUGAUGAUAUGAUCAUUUGGUAAUUCUUUAUUUAAUGUAAUCAUUUUUAAUGCAAUCAUUAAAUCAUUAAAUCAUUAUUUAAUGCAAUCAUUUAAUGUAAUAUUUAAGCACUUGUGUAUUCCUAAAAUAAACUGUUCUUGCUCA